Molecule: non-coding RNA, 121 nt
Filed under: unclassified sequences
Description: FTHFS RNA
Rfam family: FTHFS RNA
Source: RNAcentral
UUCGGUAUUCCGAUACCGAAUCACAACUCGUGCGGUAAGCCACUGCAACGGCCGUCCGCAUAAGUCCUGUAUGUGCCUGGGCCAAUCCAACGGCAGGGCACCGAAUUCAAAAUACAAGGAG